GAACUCUGGAGAAUCCCGCAAGGGUGCCGAAGGUGUAAGGCAGCGGUGCUGCUGAAUCUCUCAGGCCAAAGGACAGAGAAGG
RNAcentral lists this non-coding RNA (82 nucleotides) under bovine gut metagenome. RNAcentral's name for it is "Glycine riboswitch". It matches the Rfam family "Glycine riboswitch aptamer", at positions 9 to 86 of the family's 94-position model. Rfam says of the family: This family represents the bacterial glycine riboswitch. Glycine riboswitches usually consist of two metabolite-binding aptamers domains with similar structures in tandem. The aptamers cooperatively bind glycine to regulate the expression of downstream genes. The record is from RNAcentral.